GACGAACGCUGGCGGCGUGCUUAACACAUGCAAGUCGAACGGAAAGGCCCUGCUUUUUUGGUCUUCUCGAGUGGCGAACGCGUGAGUAACACGUGUGUAACCUGCCCUUCACUUUGGGAUAACUUCAGGAAACUGGGCCUAAUACCGGAUAGGAUCUCCCGCUCCAUGGUGGGCGUUGGAUCGUUUCGCCGUUUGGGGAUGGACUCGCGGCUGAUGAGCUUGUUGGUUGGGUAGUGGCUUACCAAGGCAUGGACGGGUAGCCGGCCUGGGAGGGAGACAGGCCACAUUGGGACUGGGGAACGGCCCAGGGGGAUAAGGGAGGAAAGAGCGGGAGAUAGAGCACGAUGGGCGGAGGGGUGAUGGAGGAACGCCGGGUGGGGGAGGACGGCUGUCGGGUAGGAAACGGAUUUGGCCUGUGACGAAGCGUGAGGGACGGAAAUGGGGAAAGAAGCAGCGGCUAACUAGGU
RNAcentral lists this ribosomal RNA (467 nucleotides) under uncultured bacterium. Its description in RNAcentral is "partial 16S ribosomal RNA". It matches the Rfam family "Bacterial small subunit ribosomal RNA", at positions 28 to 506 of the family's 1533-position model. The record is from RNAcentral.